UAAAUUCAAUAAUUUUUACCUUUGAUUCACAGGAAGUUUUGCAUUUGACCGAUGAUGAGAUUUUGCAACAUAUGAGAGGUGUUUUUCGAGAUGUGUUGGAUUGUUUCAACACAUUAUCUCCAGAGGUUGUGGAUGAGGGCAGCAGUGGAGCAGUGGUGUGACUUCUUUGCACGAGUGUGUUCUUUGUUGUCUGUUUGCACAAAUAUUCUAAUAUUUUUCGGUUAGUGCACGGACUAGCGAUUUCCUAAUGGUAUAGUUAACAAUGACUAGAAUUGGUAAAGGUGCAUCGGAAUUACAACUUGUUUCGUUCAUUCAGUAGUUUGGAUAAGCAUAUAUAAAUCUAUGGAUACACAUACAACAUAUGCUAGUGAAGGUCUAAGGCUCCUCAUGGUUUUCAUUA
This is a non-coding RNA of Camellia sinensis, 400 nucleotides long. The record is from RefSeq and is a predicted model, not a curated record. Lineage: Eukaryota; Viridiplantae; Streptophyta; Magnoliopsida; Ericales; Theaceae.